UGAGCUUGUCCUGCGUUACUUAAUGGGAGAUAAUUGUGAAUUAAGACAAAGCACCGAGACCAUACUUCCUUCCGGGUAUCAUCUUCCGGUUAGGAAGAACUUUCCAUUCAGACAAGCUAUGGACAAAGCACUUCUACAAAUGUACGAAGCUGGAAUUCUCCGAUAUUUAAAACAGAAAUGGUGGCCUCGGUUAUCAGAUUGCCGGUUGGUUUCGUCUACAUACAUCAGUUUGGAUCUCCACCAGGUAGUGCUGCCUUUCAUCAUUCUUCUGGCGGGUCUAUGGGCGGCUCUCUGGUGUUUGGUUGGGGAAACUCUGUUCGAUAUUUGGAAGAAAAAACGUUAUCAACGUUUACUGAAAAAAGUAUGAGCAGUCUUUGGAAUCUCCACCGAAUGUUUAAGCCUGUAUGUAAAAAUCGGAAAACUGGACGAUCUCCAAAAACAAACUUUUUUAUAAUCUAGUUCCAAUUUGUUUUGUUUUCCAA
RNAcentral lists this unclassified non-coding RNA (482 nucleotides) under Limulus polyphemus (Atlantic horseshoe crab). RNAcentral's name for it is "uncharacterized LOC111083725, transcript variant X2". The record is from RNAcentral. Lineage: Eukaryota; Metazoa; Arthropoda; Merostomata; Xiphosura; Limulidae.